This 6287-nucleotide long non-coding RNA is filed under the name Coffea arabica (coffee). RNAcentral's name for it is "long non-coding RNA (CARA_LNC007813)". Lineage: Eukaryota; Viridiplantae; Streptophyta; Magnoliopsida; Gentianales; Rubiaceae. The record is from RNAcentral.
AGACAUUAUAGAACUAAGGUAGGGAGAAAAUAAGGGAAAUUUAUCAGGUUUUUUCCCUUGUUUGCUCACAACAAAAGCUGAAAUUUGCAGACUGUUUUGUUUUCUUCUUGUGACGGCCCCACCUCCCCCUAGGGCGUACCAAAGGGUUUGGCGGACCGCCUGCCCAGCUCUCGUCGGGACUCACUCAAGCACUACAGUUCUCAAAUAAAUUACAAGAUAAAACUCAAACAAGUACAAGUCAACUAAAAUCGAGACACUAAAACAAGUACAAGUUCACUCGUCUAUAAUCGAAACACUAAACACCUUCCCGAGCGAUCCCCGCGUCGGCUCCCUGCUAAGGAAAACAAAAGGAAAGGGGUAAGCUAUAUGCUUAGUAAGUAAACAGGGGCAAAAGCGUAAAUCUCAUGUAACAACAGUUACUCAGUAAGAGUAAAGCAAAAGCAGAAAAAUAACAUCACAUAAUAAGGAUACGGGUGGCUCCAAAUCCAAUUCAUGUGCCAUGUAUGAUCUCCUGCCGACACUCCGUCGACCACAAAUAAUGGUCCGUAGAACUCCACUUGUUCUCCCACCGUACACCUUAUCACCCUCUCUGGCCAGUCACCUCACAAACUUGCCCGGGUGAACGAAAUCACAAACUUGAGCUUGAGUCACAAGCUCGGGUCACAAACUUGGUCCACAUAAUCGGUGAACCGGAUUCACAAACUUGGUGACCUCAAUCCAGGUUGGACUGACUUCGACCAAACCCUAACAGGCUCGAAUAGUCCAUCUAGGUAUUGAGAUCGGGCCCCAAACUCACAAACUUCACAAAAUUUCUCAAAAGUCACCCCGAGCCACAAGCUCAAGGGUUUUAGUUCCAAAAUUGCUCAUAUACACAAGCCAUGUACAAAUAUGUGCGUAAGUUAGGGUUUAGGUCGAGUGCGAUAAAGUACACCCUCGCCUAGGUACCCUCUUCAUAUAUAUCGCAACACAUAAGCAACUAACACACAAGAGCGGCCUGAAUACUUACCCAACGAACAAGGAUAACAAAAGGACAAAAUUCACGUCGCGAAAAGUAGCUAGUAGGCCCCACCGGCUCCACCUAGCUCACCACCGUCUGAAAUAGAAGAUUGUGUCACAAUAUAUCACAAACGGCUACUAACAUACUUAAAACAAGCAAAACGGCAAAAGCCGACACACUCAAGUACGGAAACGGCAAAAUUGGCACAUGCAAGUGCACGGAACGGCAAAAGGAAACGGCCAAAUCUGCCAUCUCAAACCGAUUUGAUCAAAGAUUAGGCUAGAAAUGUCGGAUCAAAGUGAGAAAGAUACCGUUUCGAAGCUAUGAGAAAGAGCUACAAAUCUCAUGAAGACACUUUAAUCUAGAUCUGAAUGGAAGCAGGUCGAAAUUGUGGAAAACAGUACCAGAAAUUUACGUCUUAGGGUGACGAACAGGGUUGUUCGCUGGACCAUAACUCCCAGCUCCCAAAUCCAAAUCAGGAAAUUCCGAAGGCAUUAGAAAGCUGAGACAUAAGGCUAAAACUUGGAUGUUUUGGCCAAGACCUGAAUCCACUCAUAACAGAAUGAAAUUUGAGUGUCAAAGUACCCGUCAGAACUGUCCACAUACAAAGCAGUUCUGACGAUCAAUAUUAUUUUGGUCAUAACAAGAGCUACGGAACUCGGAUUUCGACGUACUUUAUACCGUUUUGAAGCUGAGACCAAGAUCUAAAUUUCUUAUGAAGGGAUCAGCACCCAGUUCGUACGGGAUCAAAACGGAAAAAUGCACGGUCAGAGGCUAACUUCAAAACGCAGCACAAACUAAUGUCAAAAACAGGCCUGAGUGUUUUGUCUAUAACUCAGGAUACACUAAUCCGUUUGACCUAAAAUUUUACAGGAAUAUUCAGGACUUAAGGGGCUACAAUGUUGAAGAAGACCACUCAAUCUAGUUUCGAGUGUAACUAGGUCAAAAAUGUAAUAUACUACACCAAAACCGCAAUAACAGAUUCACAAAACGCAUUCUGACGUAAACAUCAUAAAACAGGCUACCGAAGUUCAAAUCAAGUAAUUCCAAAGCCAUACGAAAGCUAAGAUACAGGGCUACAUUUCAUCAGAAGACCUCAACAAUCAAAUCCGAAGCAUUCCAACCCAAAAUAACCAAUUACAGUCGCAGUUCUCAGGUUCGGGUAGAAACAGGACAGCAAGGGUAAUUUCGACUUUUAUCAUGCUACGCUACUCUGAUUGACCUGAAAUGUUGCAGGCACCUCUAAAAUGUCAUUCCCUACAACUUUCAUGUUUUAAGCCAAGGCCAAUUCGGCCUCUAACAUAGGGCUACAAAACCGGACAGAAAGGGGAACAAAUUUUCCAGAUUCUGGAAUUUUUGGUCUUCAAUGAAACUUUCUCAAAUUUCUUGUUCCAAUCACUACCAAAGCCCCUUAUAUAACCUUAUAUACAACAUAUACUAACUAUACAACAAGUUUAGGCAGAAAAUUAUUAAACCCUAACUUGCAUAUCUCAUCCAAUAAUCAUCACAACUACUUGCACAUCUUGAAAUCAAGCCAAAACUUAAGCUAAAUAACAUCUUAAAGCAAGAUUUAAAAGAUCAAGGACCAUGAUCAGAUUUAGUACCUCAAAAACAAAGCUUGGAAGAGUGAUACUCCACUUCCUUUGAAAAUUUCUAGUUCCUCUAGCUUCCCAACUCACAAUUAGCACUUUAACCGGUUUGGAAAUUUGAUUUGUCACUUGGAUUGCUAAGAUUCAAGAAGAAGAAAGUUGUUCUUGUUCUCUCUUUUCUCUCUCUCUUUGGUCGGCUAUGGAGCAGAAAUAAUGAAGGGAAAGUGCAGAAAAUUGGUUUAAGAAGGUUAGUUACUCACUUGGCCAAGAAACUCUAGGAUGGCGACAAGUGUCGCCACCUCCACCUUUCAUUUUUCUCUUUCUUUCCUUGCUAUUUCUAGCCUCUAAUUUUCGGUCAAACAAGCUGACAAUUAAGAGGAUAUUUUGCUCAAAUAUCAAUAAACUUGUAUGGUAAGAAAGUGGUGGUCAAUUGGUGCGUUCAAUCGGUAGUGCGCGGGACCCGCCGGUUCGCGCCGUUUUUCUUAAAAACACAUGUACUAGGGUUUUUACUUCCCAUUCACUAACUUUAUAUCAUUGCUCCUAAUCACAUAUUAUUUCCCACUUAAAAGUCACUUUUAAUCACCAAAUUUGAUCCUUGCUCCAUACCGAAAAUUCAUCCGGCGGAAAAUUGCGAAAACCCUCAUUUUGCUCCAAUGUUGAAAACGAAGAGUGAAACCCUACUUUCUAGGUUUAUCUGCACUUAUUGUGGAAUAAUUGGGUAGGAGGCUUUAAUAAAUAAUAAUUUUCAAAUAAAAGGCAUUUUUGAGGAAAAACAUAAGAAAUUUGCGGGUCCUCACACUUCUCCCUCGGUUUCUCAAAGGCAAAUGCUCCAAUGUUUCUCCCUCAAUGUAGCUGGUUUGGACACCAAGAAGCCGCAUUGUCUUCCUCACUCUCAACUCUCUUUCUUGUUUUGAAUUGGUAAGAGUAAAUGGUUUAACUCUCUCCCUCACUCUCUCUCGGUUGCUGGCUGGAAGAUUAAGGAACCAGAAAUGUUUUCUCUCUCUCUCCCUCGGUCAAGAAUUGUUUUGCAUGUCAAGGGUCAAAUAAGGUCAUGUUAGCUUGGUUUAGUAGUUGGACAAAUGUCCACCUCAAGCUAAGUGUCAAAUGGCUGAAUAGAUAAAAUUUUAAACCAUGCACUUUCAUUCCAUCUCACUAUUACCCCACUAGUUUCUUGUCUAAUUUGUAUUAAAUUUCAUGAACGUGAAUCAUGCAUGAAUUUAAAAUAUUCUAGUACACUUAAGUAUAAGGUAAUCAAUUAAAUAUUUCAUGUAGUCAACAAUCCAACAAGAUUGCACGUUCAAAAUUUCUAAUGAUAGUGUAUGCAAUUAGGUAUAAAAUUCAAGCUCUCACACUCUUCCCUUUUUAAAAAAAUUUUGUCCUCAAAAUUUCUACCAUUAUUCACAAAACUUCGGGAUGUUUCUUCAAAUUGAUCAUAGCCUGUUUUACACUAACUGUCGGGUAGGAGUAUCCCAAUAAUAUCACCCGUUGCAAUAGAACUAUCAAGUCAUGACUUCGAUAUUAGUCUGUCCUUACUUGUAAACUUAUGAGAUGAUAAAUAGAUCAAACUUGUGACGAUCUCACCUCUUCCAAGGGCGUACCCUAAGGUAUCAGUGGACCACCUACCCAGCUCUCGUCAAGAGUCGUUUUCAAACCACAAAAUCAAAUCCAAUAUCCAAUCUUACCACAAAAUACGCUAAAUACAACUAAUGUAUCCAGUUGUUUGUCGAAGCAACUUAAAAUGCAAAAAAAAGAAUUUAAGUUUUCAAUUCAUAUUCAAAAUAAUGUAGUACCCUAAUCACUUAAUUUAAUUAAAAUAAAAGUUAAGUGCUAAUUUCCCGAAUGACGAACCAACCCUACUAAGGAAAACAAAAGGAAAGGUAUGAGAUUGCGCCCAGUGAGGUCUAAGAAAGACAUGCAAUUUAAGAAAGCAAUAAUUUCACAUUUUAAGUCAACAAGAGGCAUCAUAUAAGCACAUCAUUAAGGAUAUUGAGCACUGGCAAACACUUGAUCAAUCAGUAAUUCAAGUAGGUGACACUCUUUCAACUUUCAUGGCCAUGUAGAAUCUCCACUUCACACCACUCCGUCCACCUUUCACCCACUACCGGGCCCACACACAAUGAAUGGUAUCACUCGAGUAUACCCAGAAUAGUAUGGAUCCAACAUAAAUACAUUACCCAAGGUUCACUAAUCGAGUUGACUAAGCCCUUGCCGGCUCAACCUCGAAUAACUAGCCAUUGAGUUUUGGGGCCCCCACAUAUCAUUGAUAUCAUAUCACAUUCACUUAUAGCAAUAACAAUUCAGUAGGGUCGAGUGCGAUAAAAUACACACUCGCCUGUUCAUAAACAAGUUCAAAAGAACGACAGUUCACAGCCAUAUCAUUUUCUCAAACUUAUUAACAUAUCAAACAUUUGUAUAGUGCUACCAUGCACUUAAACACUCACCAAAUAGCACUUAAGCGUCUACAGAAGGAUCACCUACACGCUUAGAUUGCAGCCCUGGCAAACAAUUACAACAUAUAAGUGAACCCCUAGUGUUUACCAAAUCAAUUUACUUAAGCAUGAAAACUUUGUUUACAAAUUAGUCGACUUUAGUGUCCUAGACACUUCAACCCAUUCAAGCUUUCAAAUCGGCAAUUCAAGUAAAAUACAACUUUCCAUUAGGGCAAAAGCAUUUCAAAAGUUUGAACAAGGCUUUUCACUCAUACAAGUUUUUGAACAAACAAAUCAUAGCAAAAGUCUACUUUUUCAAUUACUUACUUUCGUAGUUUUUGUCCCAAAAUCAUUUCACAAACCAGGAUCAGAGUUUAAUAAGGUUUCUUGAACUAGAUCAACCAAAACUUUAUUAAAACAAGGAUUCAAAGUCAAAUCACUCCAUAAAGUUGUCAAUCACUAAACUUUGGAGGAAAUCUUACUUUCCCCUUUUUUUAACUUCAAAAUUUUGAUCCAAAAUCAUUAUACAUACCAAAAUCAAAGUCCAAUAGAACCUUUUGAACUAAAUUCCACCAAAACUAGUUUUUAAAUAGAAAAUUAAAAUUGGAGUUUUUGUCUCACAAAUUUGGCCAACUUAGACAAAUUUUUCCAACUUUUGCAACUUUACAUUUUUCCAACUAGAUAACCUACAUCACCACUUCAUUUUCUUACAAAUUUUCAACAUAAUCCAACCAACAUAUAUAGAAUCAAGUAGCAUCAAAUUUCCUAAAAAAAUUCCAGCACAAGUGUACAAACAAGCCACAAAUUCACGGAAGGUAAAGAUGAAAAUUUGCCCAUGAUAAUUGGCCACCUAAACAGAAAUUUCAGCAUAUAUAUACUUCAAUUUUCACCAACAAUCCACCAUAAAUCACACUCAAAUUCUCAUGGAUUUCGUCGAUCAUUAAUACUAGGAUCUCAAGAGACAAGAAUCCACCAAAUUCUAGCCAAAUAUAUCAAGAUCUAAACAUACCAAGAUCAUUAAAGCACCUAGUACCAAAUUUCUAUAAGACUUUCAAACCCACCAUGGGUUUUCCAUAAUUACCAUAGAUCUACCAAGAUCUAGUCCAAAAUUACUUGAAAAGCAAAAGAAUGAAGUAGAUUAGCCACUUACCUCUUCAAAACUCCAAUCUUUAGCAAAAUUAACCCAAGAAGAUGGCAAGAUCUACUCCUAGGAGCGUUUUCCUUCAAGAUCUUCCAAAUGUUCAAGUAGUUUGGUGAAAGAGAAGUUUGGUU